This is a long non-coding RNA of Sceloporus undulatus (fence lizard), 1145 nucleotides long. RefSeq lists it as uncharacterized. The record is from RefSeq and is a predicted model, not a curated record. The transcript is spliced from 3 exons. Lineage: Eukaryota; Metazoa; Chordata; Lepidosauria; Squamata; Phrynosomatidae.
AAGAACCAGGCUUUUGUGGAAGAAAAAUCUCUCUUGGAUCCAAGAGCAGGCCCCAGCUCCCCCAGGGAUUGUUACUUUGCCUUUUGGGCCAAAGGACCUCUUCGUAUAACCUCUUAGGACUGACUCUGAAUGCAACCUGGAGGCUGUUGUCUGUCCAGCUUCAGACGUUGCCCACCCUGAUGGAUGCAGAAAUAUCAAAACAAAGUCCUCUCUUCUUUUCUCCCUCACAUUUGUUGAGAAUAAUGGCAAGCAGAUCUAUGUGAAUCCAGCAGUGACUUGGGUACAAAGGGCGAUGCCCAUUUUGCAAGAAAAGAAGUAAAGAGAAUUGCGGAGAAACAGAGGUCACCCUCGCUCAACCACAAAAAGAGAUGCUGAGCAACAAGCUAACCUGUUCCCUGAUUCUUCUUCUACUUGUCUCCUUGCAUUACAAUCUAUAAACAGAGUACAAUUUGUAUUUGGGAAAUCCCCAUGCAUUUAGCAAGGAGUGGAAUAUUAGGAGUUAUCACUUUUGACACCAUUGAGCUUGAUACAGUACUUUUACUUUGAGAUUAGGAUUCACUUUUUCUUUCAUUUUGAGAAUUAAAAUAAUAUAUUGAAGAUCCAACUUUAUUCCACUGGAGUUUUGUCAAAUGCUCCAGAGACCGCAUCUGCCAUUGCUAUGUCUUUGCCAGGUUUUUUCAACUUAUUUCCAGAUUGUACAGUUGCAAUGAAAGGAAUAAUUUGUGUGUGUUUGCCUGCCUGCCUGCUUGCCUGUCUGGCAGCCAAGUGCUAUUUUGCAUUUCAUUCCAAAGGCUUAUGUUGCAUUUCAAUUACUGCUAGAUUCCAUUACAUGAUUUUGUACGUCUUUAGACUACUUCCUAUAUUUUUUAAAAUGGGAAAUUUCUAAGGCUAAAGAGAUGUGAUACUCAGCUUCAUAACCCUCAGUCCUCCAUAUCCAGUAUCUCUAACAAAUGUACUGAAUUAAUUUUGGUUGCACAGUGGGGAGCUACAAGGAGCAAUGUGCAAGAAACCAGAGAUGUCUACAGUUGAAAGAACAAGUUUAAUAACACACAUACACACACACAGCUCAAACAAGAAGUUUGUUCAUUCAUUUUUUUUAAAAAUCCGUGUGAAGGAUCUAAACCAGCAGUUCUCAACCUGUGGGU